CAACACAAUGGCUGUGUUUUUGCAACAGUUCAGUAAGUCAUGGAUGCUUUCUGGAAUGGAGAGCUGCAUACUGACAAAAGAGAAAUCCAAGGACUGAAGAAAGAAACAAGUUUACUAGAUACGCUUUGUAGCCCAAGUUUCCUGAGAAAGCAAGUUUUUAUCCUACAGGACCAGCUAUUAGCGAGUGAUAAGUUAAAGACAACACCAACCAAAGGUCAGGAGUAUAUUCUCCUAGAGCUAUUUCAUAUCCAAUCCAGAGAUUUACUCUUGCUCCAUUUACUCGGAGGAAUUAAAAGCAAGUGAAGGUAGGGUUAUGCACACCUGAUAACAUCAGGAACACACCUGAAAAUGGAGUGGUGAAUGAGUACUUCUGGCCUGAUUGACCUCAGCCAGCUGGGUAUUGACCUGUUUUAGCUGAAAUAAACCUGAAAAGAAGCACUCUAAGCA
Molecule: long non-coding RNA, 447 nt
Filed under: Chrysolophus pictus (golden pheasant)
Lineage: Eukaryota; Metazoa; Chordata; Aves; Galliformes; Phasianidae
Description: lncRNA (ENSCPIG00010006990.1)
Source: RNAcentral